UGUGGCUUAGAAUAAUAUUGAAUGUUUCGUGACUUGUAAGAAAUUCAAGAGCCACUGGCAUAGUGGUUCUCUCAACUCAUUUUAGUUUAAUUUAUGGUCUAUUCUUCGCAGGUUUUAAACAUGACCACCGCCUAGAUCUUGAAGUACGGCGUCACAGAUGACGAGACGGUGGACAAACUGCAGCAGAGAAUUGCAGACGAAACCAGCAUCCCUGCAGCCCAGCAGGAGUUGCUCCUGGAGGCCGGCUCAGCUUUGGAGCCUCUCGGGCCGGCCACGCAUUGCGCCAUCGAUUACACCGUAACUCAUAUCGAAUCGUUCUCGCAUAAAAAAUGUCAAUGGCACAUCAUGUCUCAAAUCUCAUACUAUGUGGAGGAGCUAGAUGGGCGGCGGACAGACUUCCCUCUCGUUUUCCUGUUUGAUCGCUCAUCUUGUAGUUACGAACCACCGUUGACUCCUCGCGUCCUCCCUAAAAAUGUCAGUUUUAUCCAUGAGUCUUCCUCCUCCUUUUGUUGGAAUUAAAAUGUAUUUUAUUCUUAGUGUGUGCCAUAGAAUAGUGUAACUAUUUAAACAUUCUUAGUGUAGCUGCCAUAAGAAAAUGCACUGAUAUGGAACGUUUGAGCCAGGCUCUGUUUCCAAGUGGGAACCAAUUUUAGUUUUUGUGUUAGCGGUUCCUUUUUGAGAGUUACACAAGGGCGAGUGUCUGAUUUUGAGCCACGGCGUGGCAACGUUUUCCGUUUGCAAAAGCAAGUGAUGAAGAAUGCAAGGAAUGCUUCUUUUGUUUCUUUUCUGAUAACAUUUUUGUUUAUUGGUUAAACCAGAGUUUUGAAGAUCUGUAUUGUCAAGAUUUACGUUUUUUUUCGUUUUCUCCCUCGAGCAAAUGCGGCAAUGAGUUCUCACGGCAUGUGUGUGGAGAAGGAGUUGAAUAAAUGCCCGUUUUGAAGAACUGCUUGUACACCUGAUUGACAAGAGGGAGCUACAGUGAGAACUCAGCCAGCCCGGCGCCAGAACAAGACGUUGUUCGGCAGAGCUACAAGCAAGUCACUUCACUCACCUCUUCCAUCGGACAGAUAAGAGACUGUACAUUCACCUGCCUACACAAGUAGCUACCUGAGUCCAGAGAGCUUUGGGUGCCAGUCAACAAUAAGUAAAACAUUUGAACAAGUUAAAUGUUUAAAGGUGGACUAGCCUCAAUUGCUGUAAAGGGACCUACAAGUGCUAAAUUGUGCAAUGUUAUGGUGAUGUGUGCAUGUUGUAAGGUUUAAGUGCUUGCUUAUUUGCACCUAGUAAUGUCUGAUUGAGGUGUGAACGACCAUUCAUAGCAUUUGAAAACAAGUUCAUUUGCAAACAUUUAAAGGUGUAGAACAACAUUUAAGUGAUUAAGUCAUUGCAAUGAAAAUUAAGUUUAUUGUACAUUUAGUCAAUAUAUUAGACAGGUUGGUUGAUAAAGUAAAUUACAGGAGUCAGUAGUAAUUCAAGAUAGCCUACUGUAGUCAAGUGAUAAAACUAUAACAUCAUUACAUUAGUAAAUCAGAUUUAUACUUGAGUUUAAAGAAAAUCAGUUCAUAUAGCUUAAAUUUCAUGCAAAAUCGUAAUAAAAAAUAAUAGAUAAAUUAAUAAUCUUAAUAAAUACUGAGUUCAUGAGACUUCCUAAAAAUGGAUGUGUCCAAGAUAGAAGGGAUAACUCCAAUCUUAGAAGGCAUUGAGGAUGCUGAUAGUGAGCAAGCAGGUAAAACUCUUAAGGGGGAGACUGAAAUAAGUGAAGGCAAACAACCUGCCCCAGAAGAUGAAAUAAGAAGAAGUGAAAGAUCAAGAAAGCUCACUGAGAAGGGACAAGAACUCGAAGAGACUAAACUCAAAGGUCUCCAACAUCGUUUCUCACGUACCUAUGACAAGUGGAAGAUUCUUGCUAAGAAAUCAAGGAAGGAGAUAGAGGGAGCCUCUUCUCAAGAGAACCUACAAACUCUCAUCAACAAGGUAAAAGAAGCAUCAAAUGAUGUACAGCAGGCGUACGAAGACCUGCGCAAAUGCAUAAUCCCUGAUAAAGAGACACGCCGUCGAACAGACACCUGCGACAAUGUCUCAAGGCAGAUAUUAGAGCAUGCUUGGAAUCAUCUCCAAGACAAAGAUAACGAGCAAGAAAUAAAGUGGUUUGAAACUGGCUCUGUGUUCUCAUUAGAAGUAUCAGAAGCAUGCAGUGCAAGCUCAAGAUCAUCACUCUCAAGUAAAUCCUCAUGUAAAUCUUCAAAAAUAAGUGAAGCUGCAGCAGAAUUAGCAGCAAAUGAAGCCACUUUGGAAGUCCAAGAGCAAGUGGAGCGUGAGGAACGUGAACUCAGAAACCUAGAAGCUGAGUACAGACAAAGGCUUGUGCAACAAGAAAAGGAACGUGCACAAGAAGAAGAGCAAUGUAGACAAAGGCUUGCACAAGAAGAAGAAGAAUGUGCUGCAAAUAAACAGGUCUUGGAAGAAAAGCGCAGAAAGAUAGAACGCUUAGAGACCAUAAAAAAGAUAAAUGCCGCCAAGGCCAAACUAGAAGUGUAUAAACAAGAACAAGGCUCAACCUCAGACUUGCUGGAUCUAUUCAAGGAUUAUAAGCCCAAACGAGAAAGGCUUACAUUCGACUCAAAACCUGCUGUCCCGCCACAACUAAUCACAAGGAUGCAAUCAUCUAUAACUACUCCCAAAGAGGAUAGCACAACUGAUUUCGCCAAGGUACUAGCAGAGUCCUUCAGUGUAAGCCGUCUCCCAGCACCAGAGCCUGCUGUUUUCAGUGGGGAUCCACUAAAGUACAAGGGCUGAAAAAUGUCCUUUCAAACGCUGAUAGGCAGAAAGAAUAUACCAGCGAACGAAAAAAUCUACUACCUACAAAAAUAUGUUGGCGGACCAGCAAGGAAAGCCAUUGAGGGAUACUUCCUUCUAGGAACAGAUGCAGCCUAUCAGACAGCGCUCAGUGUCCUGGAAAAAAGAUUUGGAAGCUCCUUUAUGGUUGCUAAGGCGUUCAGAGAUAAGCUGGCCUCAUGGCCAAAGAUAGGACCCAAGGAAAGCAUUCAGCUACGAGAGUUCUCAGACUUCCUUCGAGGCUGCCAAGCAGCCAUGUCGCAAAUAAAGAGCCUGGAGGUCCUUAACGACUGUGGUGAAAACCAACGAAUGCUCUCCAAGCUUCCCGACUGGCUUACAGCAAGAUGGAACCGAAGGGUGACCAGGAUGGAAAAGGAAAAUGAGACUUUCCCCAGCUUCGAUCAGUUCGUGGAAUUCGUCACAGAGGAAGCCGAUAUCGCUUGUAAUCCGAUUACCUCCCUUCACGCUCUGAAGUCUGGAGAUGGUGGAAUGGAGAAGCCACAAAAAACACAAAGUGUUGGUGCCAAGGUGCUAGCAAGUAGCUCUGAAGAGAAAACAGAUGCUAAAGGAUGUGUAUUCUGUGAGAAGUCAAAUCAUGGCUUACAGACAUGUCGAAAGUUCUUGAAAGAGACAACUGCAGAACGAGUCAAGUUUGUGAAAACAAACAAGCUCUGCUUUGGAUGUUUGAAAUCAGGACAUCAGUCCAAGAACUGUGAGAAGAGAAGCAUUUGUGAGACAUGCAAAAGGAAGCAUCCAACAUGUCUACAUGAAAAUCGUCCAAGGGAAGACAAUAGGAAAGAACAAGAGGAUGGCGAAAGAAAGGAGAGUGGGAGACGCUUUAAGAAAAAGGAGCGCACAAAGGAGAAGGAAGACUUAUCAGAGUCUGAAGAGAAAGAAGAGACACCAGUAGAGGCAACAGCUAACAGAGUGGUGCAAGACAAGAGGAGCACCUAUUCCUCCACAGUUGUUCCUGUAUGGCUGUCCACAGCAAGUAAUCCAGAGCAGGAAGUGCUCGUAUACGCUCUAUUGGACAACCAAAGCGACACCACCUUCAUCCUGCAAGAAACGGCAAAAGUGUUAGUUACAAAGAAACAGGCUGUGCAAUUAAAGCUCUCCACGAUGUCAUCCAAAGAUACCGUCAUCCAGAGUCAGAAGUUAACUGGACUGCAGGUCAGAGGUUAUAAUGAGACAAGGAAAAUAUCUCUCCCAGUAACCUACACAAGAGAGUUUAUUCCUGCAAACCUAAGUCAUGUCCCCAUACCUGAGACAGCAAGAUCAUGGCCUCACCUAGAGCACCUUGCCGGAGAGAUCACUCCUUUAUGUGACUGUGAGAUUGGCCUGCUCAUAGGCUACAACUGUUCUCAGGCCCUGUUGCCCAGAGAAGUGGUGUCAGGAAAAGAUAAUGAGUCUUUCGCUCAACGAACAGACUUGGGCCGGAGUAUAGUUGGCUGUGCAGAUCCCUGGUUCGAAUCUGGGUCAUGGCAUAAUCAAAUUACUUUGAAGAAUUUCUCCCUUGCUCACUAUUGCUAAACUGACAUCUUUUGGACAAUGACGAUUUUCCACACAAGUCUACGGUCAAUAGCCGUAACUUGUAGGGCGAGUGGCGCAAAGAAUAAAGCAUCAUGGCAUAUUCAAAUAAUGUCACCUAUUUUUUAUUUUCAUUUUUGCAAAAGUGUUACAAGCUUACAAGCCACAUAUUCCCGUGGGGCUCGUGGAGCAAUGGGUAACGCAUCUGUCUACAGAUCAGAAGAUUCCAGGACUCCUGGCCAGCUUACAUGCCAUUUUGUGGUCAACAUUAGCUAUGUGUAGUUUAUGUGAACUUUUGGGUUGAAGUAACUCACAGACACUGUCAACAAAUAGUCUUUCCAAUUUUGUCUCAGCUCAAGUAUUAGGGAUCAUCAGAUCUGCGUAGUUAUUGGAUAGUUCCACCAACAUUUUAAUAUCAACAUCUGCCUGGGUGUCGUGGCUGAAGAUCCUAGAAAAAAGACCCUAAACAUGCAACUGCAUAUUGGCCAUAAUAUAGCAUCGAGGCGGCUGCAAUCCCAGUUUGAAUCUACAUACACACAAGCUUACAGAAAAUGACAACUUCCCGUGGGGCUAGUGGCUCGUUCCUUGCUCUGAACGGAGAGCCAAAACGAUUCCUAACACUUACUAAUGAAGUCCUAACCAAUUCCUGUGUGUGUAUGGGGGGCGGGGGGGGCAAAGGAACCAAUCAGAUGGCCCGAAUCCAUGCAUGGCCGAUGACGGCAGUGAUCAACACAGUGCUAUUUGAGAAGUGAAAUGCAGUUUAUAGGAUUUGCAGACAGUGUGCAAUCUUUAUUUAAACAAAAGUAGGCAGGUGCAUACAUUUGGAAACCCCAUCAGAAAAAUGACAUCAAUAUUUAGUAGUUCCUCCUUUUGCAGAAAUAACAGCCUCUAAACCAGUGGUUCUUAACCUGGAUUCGGUCAAACUCUAUGAGUUCGGUGAGUCGGUCUCAGGGGUUCAGCAGAGCCUCCACUGUGGAGGUCCGAACACACCUGUUUUAUAAAUUCGUGAUAACGCCUAUCUGAACUGGUCUCGCAAAGGCAACAGCAGAAGUCCUCCUGAUUUGCUGGUAUGUCAUUUGUCAUGAAUUCAUGCAUUGUGUUGGUUUUAUUCUUUCAACAAGGUGGUGUUCAUGCACUUCUGCAUGAGUUCCGCUCUAUUCUUCUGGCCCAACUCUUUCGGCGCAGCCGUUAGGUAGAUAUGAUGACCAUGGAAAGUUCUUUGUGAAUUAUCAAUCUUUGCCUUUCAUGUUCAUCGGGACUACACUUUUAAUAGGUACCUACACUGUGUAUUUGGAUAGAGACUGCUGAAAGUAUACACAUAUAUGCUUCGUGAACUACAUGCAUUACUGCGGGUGAAGAAGCGUGAACAAAUAAGUCAGCAGACAAGUUUGCCGAUUUAUUAGUGCCCAGAAGAGAAGCACUUCACAGUUUAACUAUUUAAUGUCUGCCAGAAUAAUCGAUGUACAGCUGUGGACCCCUUUCGGCGAGAUGCAAAAGAAGGUCCCUCUCCCAGCGCCAAGGUUCUUUAUACUACUCUGGGCCGCCUUCCUGCAAGGAGGCGACUCUGCCUAGCCUAGCGGUGGCCAACCCGCGGCUCGCGAGCCGCAUGCGACUCUUUGGCUGGUUUCAUGCGGCUCUUUUACGUUCAUAUCAACAUUUGUGUUUAUUUUUCGUGCGUAUUUGCUUCGCUUGAGUUCAAUAUGGUAUUUUGGUCAAACGCGCAUGCGCGUGAGGUGAAAUCCCGCAAAGGAGGAGGGACAAACAGAGCGAUUGGUUUUGCUGGCUUUUUAAUGAAUGGCGACUGUGACUACGGGGGCCCAUUAGGUCCAGAAAAGCUGACACGACGCUUGCCAAAAUGGCAAAGAAAAAAUGCACAGCUAAACGAAUAUAUGACGAUGAACACAGGAUGUUUUUAACAGAGUUAAAGUUGUUUUUUGUUGAACGCUAUGGCAAGCCAUUCUGCCUGAUAUGUCGGACGUCAUUGGCGCAUUUAAAAGCUUCAAAUGGUCAGCGCCACUUCAGCUCACUUCAUGCCAAUAUCGAUAAGGACUUUGCAAAAGGGACUGAUAUUUCGCAAGCACAAGUUUGGAGACUUUGAAAAGUCAGGCAGAAAAAUAGGUACAGUUUUUCAAAAAAAUUACGAAGCACUCAGAGACUGUCACACUUGCAUUGUUUCAACUGACUUGGAAUAUUGCACGGGCUAAAAAGCCAUACAAUGAAGUGGAGUUCGUUAAAAUAUGCCUCAGUGACGUUAUUGAAAUCUUGUCUCCUGAAAAUGACAAACUAAAACGAAUGGUCUGUCCCGCCACACAUAGUAAGUGGAAAAACGUAUGUUUUUGUUUGUGGAAUUUGUUGAACUGAGUUUGUCUGUGUGAGACAAUGCAGACAAUGUUCAUUGUUGAAAAUGUGGUCUUUGGUCUGUGGUUUUAGUACUGUAGGAGUCAAUUUGUCAUUAUCAUGUUGGUGCGUGACAUAAUAAUGUCACACAAUAAAUUUGGCUGAGCAGAGGGGUGUGUGUGUGUGUGUGCGUGUGUGUGUGGGUGUGCGUGUUUGUGUGUGUGUGUGUGGGGAGGGGGUGUUCAUGUGUGCUCAGUUGUAUGAUGUGGCUCUUUGCGAUGACACAGUAAAAAAUGUGGCUCUUAGUCUCUGACUGGUUGGCCACCCCUGGCCUAGCUGGUGUGAUAACGUGUGACCUUGUAGUCUUAACUGAGAGCGACUUCUACAUAUGUGCAAAGGGUGUCAUAGAGAAGAGAAAGCUAAUAAAGCAAGACUCGAGUCCUAUUCUAACAAACCGUUGGUGAGAAUGGGUAGACAGGGAAGCCUGUAAUGCAGUGCUUCUCAAUUAUUUUCUGUUACGCCCCCCCCUAGCAAGAAGGAAACUUUUCGCGCCCCCCCCUCCCCACCGUGACUAUCCUAACUUGUCUUGUAAAUCGUAAAAUGUUGCACUGUCGCAAACGUCACAGAAGUAACAAUGAGAGCGCCACUGCCCCCUGCUGGGAAGAUGCGCGAGUACACUUUAUUCUAGUACUGCAAAAAAAAAAGCCUGUUCCCCAGGGUCACACGCGCCCCCCCAGGUAUAGCACGGCGCCCCCCAAGGGGGGCGCGCCCCACUAUUUGAGAAGCACUGCUGUAAUGUCAUGACUCGUCCCCGGUCACGUCCAUGUUGUCAUAGUUUUGUCCGUGUGUCUGUGUGCUCACCCCUCCCCUCCUGUGUGCCCAUGAUCAGUGUGAUCAUUCUCACCUGCCUCUUGUUACCUGUCUUGUAUAUUAAGUCCUGUCUGUGUAUCACUCCCUGUCGGAGCAUUGAUGUGUUUGUUACUGUCAUGAGGUUUUUUUGGUUCCUGUCUUGGUAAUGUCACCCUGUCUUUUUGUCUCACGUCUCUGUUGUUGGUUUUGUUAGUAAGUCUUGUCAGUUUGCAGAGUCUUUUGAGUUUGCUUCAAUAAACCGUGGUCCAAGCUGCACUUGGUCCCCCUGCUCCAUUUCCACACUCCGUUCGUGACAUGCACUUCUAGAGUUGGACCGAGCCAUUUUUUACUUCAUCUGGAAAUCCAAGUUGGAGAGACUGAAGAGGGACACCAUGAAGAAAAACAAAAAAAAGGAGCGGGAAGCGGUGUGUCCAGUGCGCGGGCUUGCAUUCGGCGAGCCCACAACAGUUUGGCGCAACGUCAACCACCCCGCCCUCUCGAAACAAACUUCGGGACCUGUCAUGGAUGGUGGCCCAUGAUGUCCUCCCAGUCAGGUCCGUUAUGCACUCUCGGGGCAUGUCAGCGCUCUCAGCGUGCCCCUGACCUGGCUGUGGUGCCCAGGAGUCAGUGUGGGACCUGCUCUGGUAGUGCAGGGCUGCCGUAGACCUGUGGGCGACCUGCAAUUCCCCGCAAGGUAAGCGCAGAUUGCAGACCUUGUACUCUAUGCGUUGACCCCGUUGAAAAUCAAGCAAGAAGACUUUACAAAGCAGUCGUUGCCAUCAAAGACGCCAUGUGGACUUCCAGAAACUUGCUGGUAAGGAAGCACAGACAGAUACCCCCCCCCCCCACGCCCCCCCCACCCAGGCCUGGCUGGCUGCAGCAACUCUCAAAGCUGCACACGGCAAGCCUAGGAGACAUCGACCUGGUAUUGCAGUACCUCCAGGAACAGUGCACCCCCUCUACUGGUCAAAUCAAUAGUUCAUAUGUUAGAAAACCAUUUCAAUCCGUUCGCUUCAUUCUUACAGGAUUAAGCAGUCAAUUAUGACUUGAUGGGGUCAGAUCUCAAUGUAAGAUGUUAGGAUUUGAGGCUUCCCCACCAAACGGUUUGCAAAUAGAUUCAUUUCUCGAGGCUUCAUGUGCACACAACACCCCCCCCCCCCUGCUGGUCAAAAGGAGCAAUUUAUUCCAUUAAUGAGAAUUACAUUCACCUUUAUAUUUUGCUUCAUGUAGCCUGAUCAAAAUGAAUAAAAGUUCUCUGUAUGUGCAUUCACGUGUAACAUUGAAGGAGGUGGACGUGUGUUUCAAUAUGUAAAUAAAUACCAUCGUUGUCUAUUAAGAAGUUAAAAGUUGAUGAAACACAUUUCUUUUUUUGUAGGGAUGCUGUGUUUUAACAAGGAAAGACUGAUAUGCUUAUGGAUGAAGAUGACUUGUACUUGUGAUUGUGCUUGUAAACAGUAAAGAGCGUGUGCAAUUGAGGGGGGUGGUUAUUGGUUUUAUUCAAAAACAAUAUUUGUCUGGGGCUUCAUGCCCCUGGUUGGGUCACCCAUAGCAAACAAGCCACAUCCGGCCCACGGGACCGUUUAAUCCGGCCCGCCAACCCUGAAUAAAUUGUAUCAUUAAACAUUUUUUUUGGUCAUUUUGCCUGCAAUGACUGCGUUUCCCCAGUAGAUGGGGAACCGCUCGCCUGCGCAUUUACUACCGGAAGCCGUGUCAGAAAGCCCAGUGCACACUCACAAGUGCGUGUACGUACUCAGUAGUACGGACAUGACGCACCCGCGCUCUAUUUGUAUCAGUCCCGAAUUUAGAGCGUGGGCUGUAAUGACAACAUUCUUGUAAUUUGCGCACUGAACUUUCAGAUACAGUUUUACGCUAAAGCCACCUACAAACCUUCCCCUGGAAUCCUUCUAUUAAAAUGAGUCGCCCAAGGAAAAGCAAGGUGGAGACAGUGCCGAGUGUUUAGAAAAGUGUUGCUAAUUUGGCUCGACGUCCGCGACGUGACGUUCAGCCACAUGAACAUUAAUAUCAACCCGUCACAGAUUGAGGUUAACGGACCAACACGUCAGAUCUCUCCUAAGAAUUGCCACAACAAAUUUUACUCCAGACUAUGACGCACUAGCAAAAAAGGGAGACCAACAACACUGUUCCCACCAAAAAUGAAGGGGAGGCUCUCAAGUUUGUUGUUAAAAAAUGCAUUUUGAAUAUGAUUUGUACCCUUAGCAGGGAUUGAAACUAACGACCAUUCUCAUUUUCAAACAAUGCAGGAUGCUCAAGGACAUUGAUGCACCACCUGUUUGCGACUAAUCUUAACCUGUAAAGUUCUUAAGGCUUACUUUAAGGAAGUGUUUCCCGUUUCCUCAACUCUGUUACCAGGUGUUUGUGAGUUAAAACUCUGCUCUGACUUUCAGAUGCCCCUCACCGUGUUGCCAUUUUGAUUACUUUAUUUGGAUGUAUGUUUUCACCGAUUCUUGAAGAUGAUAUAUUUGGUCAGAAUGUUUGAUGUGAUCUCAUAAGAUAAACAUCUUUCAUUAAUCUGACCUGCAGGCACUGAAGUGAUGGAGACUGUUAUUCAUAAUAACAGUGUCAUAUUUUAUGAGAAUCACUGAUAGCAGUUUUUUAGUGAGUUAUUAUUUUUUUUAAUGCUGUUAAUAAAUGCAUUUGUUUUCAAAAAACUUGUUUGGAAUAUCCAUGCUUUACUACCUACUAAAGGCCAAAAUCCUUUAUGAAAUGACCUUUACAGGUUGCUUAUAUUACUUCACACAAACACUACGUCCAUCUGCUCCUGGUUCGGCCCUCCGGUCCAAAUUUAGAACCCAGUUCGGCCCGCGAGUCAAAAAGUUUGCCCACCCCUGGGCUAGACAAAGCCCGGCUCUCACAAGCCCCUUAUGAAGAAAAACACAAUUGGAUUUUGUUUUUCCUCACCCGGACGCGGGUUACCGGGCCCCCCCUCUGGAGCCAGGCCUGGAGGUGGGGCUCGAAGGCGAGUGUCUGGUGGCCGGGCCUUCGCCCAUGGGGCCCGGCCGGCCACAGCCCGAAAAGGAAACAUGGGUCCCCCUUCCCAUGGGCUCACCACCUGUGGGAGGGACCAAAGGGGUCGGGUGCAGUGUAAGCUGGGCGGCGGCCAAGGGAAGAGACCUUGGCGGACCGAUCCCUGGCUCCAGAAGCUGGCUCUUGGGACAUGGAAUGUCACCUCUCUGGCUGUAAAGGAGCCCGAGCUGGUGUGCGAGGCAGAAAGGUUCCGACAAGACAUGGUCGGACUUGCCUCCACACCCAUUUGGGUUCCGGUACAAGCUGGCCCUGGACUCUCUUCCACUCUGGAGUUGCUCACGGUGAGAGCAGGUUUGGGUAUACUUAUUGCCCUCCGGCUGGGCGCCUGAACAUUGGAGUUCACCUCGGUCAAUGAGAGACAACCCUAACCUUAACCCUCCGCCUUCGGGUGGGGGGAUGGGUCUUGACUGUUGUUUGUGUCUAUGCACCAAACGGCAGCUCAGAGUACCCACCCUUUUUGAUGUCCUUGGAAGAAGUGCUGGAGAGCGCUCCGUCUGGGGACUCUAUCGUUUUACUGGGUGACUUCAAUGCUCACGUGGGUAAUGACAGUGAGACCUGGAAGAGCGUGAUUGGGAGGAACGCCCCCCCCCCCCGAU
Syngnathus typhle (broad-nosed pipefish) is the source of this 11189-nucleotide RNA transcript. RefSeq lists it as uncharacterized. The record is from RefSeq and is a predicted model, not a curated record. The transcript is spliced from 4 exons. Lineage: Eukaryota; Metazoa; Chordata; Actinopteri; Syngnathiformes; Syngnathidae.